GACCUGGGACGAUGCCGGAACGUGCUCCUGAAAAGCGGAAGGUCGCCGGUUCGAUCCCGGCCCUGGCCACCA
Molecule: transfer RNA, 72 nt
Filed under: Mycobacteroides abscessus
Lineage: Bacteria; Bacillati; Actinomycetota; Actinomycetes; Mycobacteriales; Mycobacteriaceae
Description: tRNA-Ser
Source: RNAcentral